CGUUCCAGAAGCAGCUCCGUUUACCGCAUCACCAACGAUGGUGUGGGAAUCAAUCCUCAGCAAAAUGCAGGAAAUGUCUUCCUCAAACAUGGUUCUGAACUUUGCCUGAUUCCUUGUGACAGGGUGGGAGCUUUUUAAUGCUGAAAACUUCACUGUCAUCAGAGUAAGAAGACUAGUUAUCACCUCCUUUAAUUAUUGAUCCAUUUUCUUAGUAUGUUUCUAUUUUUACUCUUUAAGUGUAGACCAUAGCUGAUAACAUUUUUUUCAAAAAAAAAAAAUGAUAUAAGAGCUAUAUAAUUACUAUAUAAUCCCAAAGGCCAAAGUUGCCCAUAAAAACUCUAAAUUAAUGGCCAAUGAACCAUUUGCCUUUUUAAACUGAAUCCUUACUGCAU
Molecule: non-coding RNA, 392 nt
Organism: Durio zibethinus
Lineage: Eukaryota; Viridiplantae; Streptophyta; Magnoliopsida; Malvales; Malvaceae
Source: RefSeq, a predicted model, not a curated record